UUCGGGAUUCGAACCCGAGAGAUCCAGAACGAUGGUUCGACUGGCGGCGCGCAGCGACGCCAGAACGUCGCCGCAGGCGGCGGCCCGCAGGGCGAGGCGCUACGCGCCGAGUCAUCCCUCCCUCUCCGCCA
Molecule: small RNA, 131 nt
Filed under: Thioalkalivibrio sp.
Lineage: Bacteria; Pseudomonadati; Pseudomonadota; Gammaproteobacteria; Chromatiales; Ectothiorhodospiraceae
Description: RtT sRNA
Rfam family: RtT RNA
About the family: This family represents a bacterial cis-regulatory element known as RtT RNA. The exact function of RtT is unknown although it is thought that it may be involved in changing the cellular response in relation to amino acid starvation.
Source: RNAcentral